UAACCCAUAAAGCAUUGGUCUUGUAAACCAAAGACUGAAGACUACAAUCUUCCUAAAGUA
This 60-nucleotide transfer RNA is filed under the name Mauremys mutica (yellowpond turtle). RNAcentral describes it as "tRNA-Thr". Lineage: Eukaryota; Metazoa; Chordata; Testudines; Geoemydidae. The record is from RNAcentral.